Amphiprion ocellaris (clown anemonefish) is the source of this 6742-nucleotide long non-coding RNA. RefSeq lists it as uncharacterized. The record is from RefSeq and is a predicted model, not a curated record. The transcript has 10 exons. Lineage: Eukaryota; Metazoa; Chordata; Actinopteri; Pomacentridae.
UUUACGUUGAAACAGGAAGUGUUGCUCCUCUGUAAUGUCGCCAGCUUUGCCUCAAAUAAUAAUAGUGUCGUUACCGGCUGUGUCCGCCAGAGGGCAGUAAUGUGUACAGUAAAGGGUUAGUGACUUUAGGGGUCAUUUUGAAUGUUUUUAUGGCUAUUUUUGCUUCAGUUUGUUCAUGUUUUGUCUCAUAUUGUUACUUUAGUGACUUUAGGGGUCAAUUUGCAUGUUUUUAUGAAUAUUUUUGAUUCAGUUUGUUCAUUUUUUGUCUCAUAUUAUUACUUUAGUGACUUUAGGGGUAAUUUUGCAUGUUUUUAUGGCUAUUUUUGAUUCAAUUUGUUCAUUUUUGGUCUCACAUUGUUACUUUAGUUACUUUAGGGGUCAUCUUGCAUGUUUUAAUGGCUAUUUUAUUAUUCAGUUUGUUCAUUUUUUGUCUCAUAUUAUUAUCAUAGCAGAGGCUCAUGGGUAACGUGGUUCUGAGGCAGCCAGGAGCAGAGGCUCAUGGGUAACAUGUCUCUGAGCCAGCCAGGAGCAGAGGCUCAUGGGUAACGUGGUCCUCUGUUUCCAGUCUUUAUGCUAAGCUAGGCUAACAGUUCUAACCUCUUUCCAGUCUUUAUGCUAAGCUAGGAUAGCUGUUUUCCUCUGUUUCCAGUCUUUAUGCUAAGCUAGGCUAACAGUUCUAACCUGUUUUGUCUUUCUGCUAACCUAGGCUAACAGUUCAAACCUGUUGUGUCUUUCUGCUAACCUAGGCUAACAGUUCCCACCUGUUGCCAGCCUUUGUGCGAAGAACCACAGCUAGCCACAGUUAUCCACAAGUAGCCACAGUUGUCUACCAGUGCAGCACAGAGUUAUCUGCAACAACAAUAAACAUCAUUAACCUGGAAAGUCUGGCUGCCGUGUUCACUCAACUCAACUCAACUCAACUCAGACCGACAAAUUCUUCAAUGGAAACUCUAUGUUGCCUGCUAAUCUUGAUUUGGAAGUAGAGGCUCGAGGAAAUGGACAAGGAAUACUAGAGUACAGGGAAAGACGACCACGGGUUGUGACCUAUUACAAUCAGCUGCAUGAGGUGGAAGAGAAAAUGCCCUGCAAGCACUUUGAUCUCAACGUCACUUUUGAAGGAUCCAGCGGGCUCUAGGACCCAGAGACGUCAGGAUGGUGGUUCUUGAUAUCAGUCUACCAACUGGAUUCACCCCAGAAAACUCUGACCUGGAGAUGCUGUCCAAUUCAGUGCAUCGUUACAUCAGUAACUUCCAGAUUGUAGACGACCUGAGUGACAGAGGCUCCCUGAUCAUUCACCUGUUCAAAUGUCCCUGAUAGCAGAGCUGGAUGCUUCAGAUCUGUGGUGGUUCUCCCACCAACUGGCCUAAUCUCCAUCUGUGGGAUGCAUCUGCUGCUGACCUUCCUCCUGCCCACUGCUUCCAGCUUCCCAUUUCCAUCAAUCUACUCUGCAUCACCCUCACUAUACUUGAUUUGCUCAUCUACAUAUUUUUGAAUUUACCACCAGCUAUAUAUAUAGUAUAUUUAAUGCCAGAGCCAUACACCAUAGCAGUAAACUAUAAUCAGUUUCCAGCCCAGAGGGAUAUAUGCGCAUAUUUUUUUAAAUACCAUGAAGAAGACUAUAUACAGGAAGAUGAGGUAUCAGUUCUUGCACAUAGAUAUACAACAGUCCUUUAUUACUCCCCAGGUCAGGGGAAAUUUCCAGUGUUAGAGCAGCAAAAAUCUUUCAGAGCAGCACUAACUACAGUUUACUACAGUAAAGAUAAUUAUAAUAACAAUAAUAUAUACAAGAAUGAAAAAUGAAUAAAUACAGUAUUACUACACUAUAAGUGACAUCAGCAUAAAGUGGCUUGUGGAAUACAUUUAAAGUGCAGAAAAUGCCAGCAGUACAAGGAGUUGUGGAUAUUUUCUCAAAACAGGUGAGUCCUGUGAAUAUGACCAACAUAUGAGAUAAAACUACCAGAAACAUGUACAAAAUGACCAAAAUAUGAUUGGUUGAUAAUGUAUCAGUGUUGUUACUGAUUAUUGAUCGGUUGCAGGGACAGAGAUUUGUGUCUGAGUCUCUGCUGUCAUCUAAUCUCUCUCAUGCAAGAUCAUGUCACAGGAGGGGGCGCUACUGGCCUCUUGUGGACACAGGCGGUAACGACAUGACAUUAUUAAUAACUGUAUAGCUGGCAACAUUACAGUUGAGGAGCACUUCCUGUUCAUGUUCAACGUAAAAGCAUCUUUAUUGUACAUUUAAUGUCAAAAGUAUUACUAAGCGAUUUUGGUAGAUUCAGAAGGAUCUCUGAUGUAAACUAAGUUGCAUUUAACGACAGCUAGCUUCUCCACUUGCUCCAAUUACUUUUGUUGUAGUCCGAGUCACGUCCAAACAGGAAAUGAAUUCAUAAUGUAGCUAAUGACAAUCUAUAGCUGCAUCUGUGAUGGCAGCGUUAGCGAGCUAGCAGCUAAUCAGAAGCUAGUGACAAGCUAACUCCAGCGCUACAAGCAGCGUCUCUUUAAAAGGUGCUGAUCACGCUAUCAGGCUGAAACGUGAGACCUGGGACAGGGAAAGGAGCUAGAGCGCUGUGUCUUGCAGAGGAUUUAUUUUAGAACUACGCAUGUUAAGGUAUUAGUCCGUGUCAUAGCGAAUCCUCGUUAGCACUUCCGCUAGCUCGGCUAAUACUUCCGUUCACGACUGCAUUUGUAAAUUAGGUAUAACGUGUUCAUUUUUGAACGUAUAGUGACAACAAACACAAUUUGAGACUGUCGACAAGCUAGUGGUCCUUAAAUAGAUUUUGUUUCAUACUGCAGAUUCUUCUGAGUCUCACAAAACCACGUUUUAGCAUAAUAGCAUUACUAUAGUUUUACGUAUAAUAAACCCCAUGACAAUUGUUAACUUCAGGCCCAAUUUGCUGCAUUACUGUGUUUUCUAAUUGUCUGAAAACAAAUACCUCUGGAUUUUGGACUGUUUUUCAGAACGACCAAACACGCGUUUAGAUAUCAUCUUGGCUUUUCAGAACUUACGUUCACAUUCUUUUUUUUUUUUUUUUUUUUUUGCCAUUUUAGCUGUGCUUCGUUCCUCUUCUGUCAUCCUAGUGCACUGUGUGUUAUCUGUGAUUUUUUUGUUCCUUUUUUUCCCUUUACUGGCAUAUUAAAGGGAAAAAAUACAAAAAUACAAAUGGACGAUUAUUAUUAUUAUUAUUAUUAUUAUUAUUGUUAUUAUUAUUUUUACUAAAAAAAAAAAAAAGACUAAACUGAAUUGAAGUGAAAGACACUAUUUCCCCAGUUGAAUUGGCAGUCACCUGUUUGAUAAAUAAAGUGCAACUUCUUCUGUCACACUACAUGAAUUGCAUUAGCGUUAUAGUGUUUUGUCUCUACCUAACCGCUGUGUGUGGAUACAAAAAUGCCUGUUGUCAAUGCUUGAACCCUAAUACGGUGAUAAUAAUUUAAAAGAAAAAAAAUGUUUCCAUGAUUGUGCCUGUUACAGUUGUUUGUUACUAGAAAACUAGAAAUUGACCUGUCAUCAUUUGUGCAUAACACGUUGCCUGCCGCAUGCACUGAUUUAAAAAAAAAAAAAAACAAAACAAAAAAAAACAAAAUUUUUUUUAACUCCAAUUGUGCCUGUUAUAUGCUUACAUGUACUUUUACUCCAAUUGUGCCUGUUAUAUGCUUACAUGUACUUUUUACUCCAGUUGUGCCUGUUAUAUGCUUACAUGUGAUGUUUAACUACACGAUCCAUUUUCAUUGUGUUCUUGCAGAAAUUGCCCUGUCAUCGUUUGUGCACGGCACGUUCAAUUUUUGUCAUUCCAAUAUGAUCUGCUUGUGUGUGUAUCACAGUUUCAAAGUUUUCAUCACGGUUUCUGCCUUCAUCGUCACUUAUGGUCAUUCUGAUAUGAUUUGCCUGUGCAUUUAUCAAAUUGUUAAUCACACUUUCAGCUUUAAGCGUGAAUUUUAGUCAAUCUGAUAUGAUUUGCCUGCGCAUGUACCAUAUUUUUCAUCAUAUUUUCUGCUUUAAUCAUGACCUCUUCAAGAGGUUAUCUUGUUAUAACCUAGAUUGAAGUCGGUGAAGAUGGCUUUAAGCAGUAUGAUGUCAUCACGGCUCUGGACAUGGACGCCAUGAUGAGUACGAUGUACGCGUGGCUGCAGAACCUGGUGAAGUUUGACAAGUCUCAUGGUGUUAAUAACACCUUGGACACAGAGAUCGUCCCCGAGUCUGACCACGAGGAGGAGGAGACGACUCACAUCCUCAUUGUAGAGACCAUCUUGCUUUACACCUACAGGCCUUUGAUCCACAUGCUAUGCCAACGUUAACCUUAUUUUACAUAUGAAAAACGCAAAAAAAAAAAAGAAAAAAAAAAGGUGCUCUAGGAACUACAAAGUGCCAGCCAGGCAUUAGUCAUUCCAAUAUGAUCUGCUUGUGCAUGUAUCACAGUUUUCAUCACAAUUUCUGCCUUAAUCAUCAGUUAUGGUCAUUCCAAUAUGACCUGCUUGUGCAUUUAUGCAAUUUUUCUUCACAUUUUCUGCUUUAUCCGUCAAUUUUUGUCAUUCUAAUAUGACCUUGCUCUGUAGUGUGAACAUCACAGAGACCUGUGCUAAUAGCAUUAGCGUUCUGAUGAUUUUCCCGUGAUUCCUUGCAGUGUCUGCCGCCAUUUUGUUGCCUUCCGCCAUUUUGCUGCCGCUGCUCCGGAGGCCUUCGCUGUACCACACAGACUGUUCAGAAAGAGCGACUGACGACCGUUUAAGAGGAGCUAACCGCGAUCUUUCUGUCCACGACCGAGGCUGGGCUUCGUUGUCAAGUGGGUGAGAAGAAAACAAAGGUGUCGCGCCAGCCAGCCAGCCGACAAUGCUAACGGACGUCAUGGGAAAGCAGGAUUAGAGAUCAGAGGAGAGGCCUAUGCUGAUAGCAUUAGCGGUCACAUGAUCUUCCCCAAGAUGUUUUGCGGUUACGAGAAACCAUCGAGUUCCGUGUUGCUGCGAUGGCCGAGGAGAGGCACCUGUGGGUUUCCCUGCCUGGGAGACAAAUGGACCGGGUGCAGACAGACACGGGAACUCUUGAUGCAGUGUGCCAGCCAAAAGAAGCUCGACACCAGUCUGAAAGGGAAGUUCCACAGUUUCUAUGAAGGAGGAGUUGCUGAAGCGGGAAAGCCAACACCUAACUCCUGAACGACUCAGUCUACACAGAGCUGUACAUCACAGGUUAGGUUGGGGGUACUUAACAUAGGCCUCACCCACCUCAAGGGACCGAGACAUCCAACUCUUCAAGCCUAUCCGGGCAGGUUGUAGUAACCUAACGGUGAUAACAAGCAACCUGUUAACCUAUGUAGGCGGUAAGUAUGCGGCCCUCCUGGGUUCCGACUCUAGGAACAGCAUGCAGGAUGUGGUGGUCCAGGGCAUCAGCACCUCAAUCGUUGCCCAGUCUUCUAGAAGGCUUAGCCUCACCCACCCAACAGCCCAUUCUGCACCACACACGCUGAAUUGAAUCUGCCAAAAAAAACCAAUUGGACUCCUUCAAAUUGACCUGACCCCCUAACAUUCUCAUCCCCUGGCCUGAUGUAGGGGACCAGGCCGUGGAUGCACCGGGACCUAGGACCGUUAUCCGACCUCUUUUCUCUCACUCCCUCUACCUUAAAUUCUAAGACAAAAAGACUUUUACAUAUUCGGCCCUUAUGACUGACCUCUAAAAAAAACCCCGAAACCUGUAAUAACAACUGACUUAGAACAGCUCAAAACACUUACCUGUAAAACAACGAUACUUGGGUAGAAUAUAGAAUAAAUAGAUUUACUUACCUUAAAACAAUCCUUCGUAGUCAACUGUAACAAACCACAAAUGUACCUACCUGACUCACCUGACUACAAGACUGAUCAUCGCAAAACAGACCUUAGACCCAAGAACGAAUAAAAUAAACAAAAUCUACUUAUUUUCUUUUAAAAAAAUAAUAAAUAAAUAAAUAAAUAAAUAAAUAAAUAAAUAAAUAAAUAAAUAAAAGACUUGCAAUUGACGACAGGACGCACUCUGAGACCUGAUCAGUCUCGGCGGGGCCUCCCUUGGGGGAGAGUGUCUAGUGAUAAUGGCCGAAACACUCGUUGAUCCCAAGGUCCACUACUGAUGACGUGUCCUAAAAUUAAUAAAACAUUUAGGCCUAGAUUACCUUACAACCCAGAGACCCUGAAACACUGAAUCAAUAUAGGCGGUCUCUUUAAUAGGUAACACAGGACCUAACUACAGGCUUUUAGAUCCACCAAGACUGGGACCAUUAGCCACUUGACUAGACUUAGCCUGACUUCUGACCCUACACCUAGCCCUGACCUCUGACCCCAUCCCCUGACCCUAACCUCAACCCCCUCCCCUCACCUCUUGACCUCUAACCCUAACUCCCUGACCUCUAACCCUAACCCUAGAACCUUCAAAACCUGAACCACCAAUUUGGACUAGUGUAGGGCUGCUUUUGGAGUCUGGGCUCAUAUAGGAUGGCAGGUACUCACUCGGUGCGCACCAAGCUUUCGGGCUGUUUGUCAUUCUAUCCAAUCACGGUCUGGGGACAGGUCUCGUACCGGGGGCAGUGCCUGAGCUUGGCUCGGCACUACAAAUGCUCUUUCCCAGUCCUGUGUCUCCUAAGCAACCUCUACAUCAAAUACGCAUACUCCAUUAACUCCCAAACGGGCUUGUUAACCAGACCAAACCCUUAACCCAAGUUAAAACAUCAUGCAAAGUGCCUCAAAACCUGCUCAAAAACAAUAAAAACUGACUCUGAAAUGACUCAAA